Aegilops tauschii subsp. strangulata is the source of this 1350-nucleotide non-coding RNA. Lineage: Eukaryota; Viridiplantae; Streptophyta; Magnoliopsida; Poales; Poaceae. The record is from RefSeq and is a predicted model, not a curated record.
UCUCCCCCUCCAACCCUACCCCGCCGGCCGCCGCCGCCACCGCUGCUGCUCGCCCUUGCCUCCCGCGCGCCGCCGUCUCCCGGUCAUCCUCGCUCGCGUACUCUGCCGCAUCUCCCGCGCCAGCAGAUCGACGCAGCCGGGCCCGUCCACCGCGUCUCCCUGCCGCCCAGCUCGUCCCCGGCCUCCGCCCAGGUCUGUACUCUGAGGGUUACUUUCAUUUGCGUUGAAAGCUAUGUGGGUCAUUUGUCACGGCCACAGAUGCGGCCCCGGAGCUGUCGGGUUCACCGUGACACAGGUGGAGCAGAUGAAGGUGGAGGCGUGAGUAGCCGACAUCUACUGCGUCCUCUUCGACGCCGCGCCCAACGCCAAGUCUAUCAUGCUAGAGCUGUGGUGCAAUCAGCAUGUCGAGUAUUUGACGAAAGGGCUCGAUGCCGAGUAUUGCUUCUCCAAUGUAAAAUUAACUCGAGUGUCGUCCCUGGUUAUUAUUUUGCUUGACAGUUUUCAUUCCAGUCGACCUUGGUUAUUAUGCUAUUGGAUGGUUCAUGGACUCGUGUUGCUGGAUGAAACGCUUGGCGAUGACCUCGAGAACGAUAUUGUAGACUUCUUGUCUCGAUGCCAGGAUAGGUUCAAGCCAAGUAGCUAACAUCCCCUUCUACCCAAGGUCAAGCAUUCAGCGGCGGCAUCAGAGGAGACAUCGUCACGCGGAAGCCCCUUCUCUGGACAAGCAAAAGCUCUGGCCGCCAUGGAUGCCAAUGAGAUUCUCGACCAAGGUUCACCUGGGCCUGCAUCCUCCAAAAACAAGAUGCAUCCACUUAUCAAGAUACGAAGUCUACUCGCCAGGAGGAGCAUGAAUAGUACAUCGAGAGAGGAAGUAGGAGUUCUCCGAAAUGAUCAUCUACAAGCACAGUACAUAUUUGUUGAUUGCUAGCACUAUCUAUGUUUCCAUAGCAUUGUUUCCAACUCAUGUAACACCUAUUUUUACAAUUUAAGGUAUGAACUACCUGGCUUUAUUUUGAACUUAUGUACUGAUGUAGAAUGAUGGCUCCUGUUUUUUACUUGCUGGUAUGAACUGUUUCGUUGUAUUUUGUAAAGCUCAAGAAUUUACUUAUGAUGCUAACUAACAUUGCUACAACAUUUGUAUAGAGUACCUCUAAUAAUUAUCCUUUCCUUGUCGUUUGGCUUUUUUUUUGUACAAUUGCUCAUUAUCUUAUCAAUGUUGAAGCUACAUAUAUUAGAAACACUUAUUAAUUACAUUGCGUUGGAUGCAAGCUGUUGUUCUGCUUGCUGGUACCUCUUUUGAAAUACUAGGUGUUUGAUCAGCACCUAAGGCAGAUAGCUAGCGCACUUCCU